UGGGGAAUAUUGCACAAUGGGGGAAACCCUGAUGCAGCAACGCCGCGUGAGUGAUGACGGCCUUCGGGUUGUAAAGCUCUGUCUUCAGGGACGAUAAUGACGGUACCUGAGGAGGAAGCCACGGCUAACUACGUGCCAGCAGCCGCGGUAAUACGUAGGUGGCAAGCGUUGUCCGGAUUUACUGGGCGUAAAGGGAGCGUAGGCGGACUUUUAAGUGAGAUGUGAAAUACCCGGGCUCAACCUGGGUGCUGCAUUUCAAACUGGAAGUCUAGAGUGCAGGAGAGGAGAGUGGAAUUCUUAGUGUAGCGGUGAAAUGCGUAGAGAUUAGGAGGAACACCAGUGGCGAAGGCGACUCUCUGGACUGUAACUGACGCUGAGGCUCGAAAGCGUGGGGAGCAAACA
RNAcentral lists this ribosomal RNA (402 nucleotides) under uncultured bacterium. RNAcentral describes it as "bacterial SSU rRNA". It matches the Rfam family "Bacterial small subunit ribosomal RNA", at positions 355 to 774 of the family's 1533-position model. The record is from RNAcentral.